This 30-nucleotide non-coding RNA is filed under the name Rattus norvegicus (Norway rat). The record is from RNAcentral. Lineage: Eukaryota; Metazoa; Chordata; Mammalia; Rodentia; Muridae.
UAAAUGUAUGCGUUGCAAAUAUUUUCUUCU